GGGGCUAUAGCUCAGGUGGUAGAGCGUCUGUAUGGCAUACAGAAGGUCGAGGGUUCGAGUCCCUCUAGCUCCA
This 73-nucleotide transfer RNA is filed under the name Acidimicrobiia bacterium. RNAcentral's name for it is "tRNA-Ala". It matches the Rfam family "tRNA". From Rfam's summary of the family: Transfer RNA (tRNA) molecules are approximately 80 nucleotides in length. Their secondary structure includes four short double-helical elements and three loops (D, anti-codon, and T loops). RNAcentral also lists the same sequence under 1 other name. The record is from RNAcentral. Lineage: Bacteria; Bacillati; Actinomycetota; Acidimicrobiia.